AAUACAGUGUUGGCGAGUCAUAUAUGCUUUGAAGAAUGAAGAGACCAGAGAAGAGGGCUACAAGUGUUGGAAGUAUGCGUGAUACAGUUUUACGCAAGACUUCCUGCGACAAUCUCCCUGAAAAUGUGACGCGUAGGGAGACAUGUUAAAUUGGUGUUAACUCUGUUUGGAAGAAUUCGUCAGUGAAACCAUCUGAGACUGGGGACUUCCUUUUUGAGAGCUUUUAAAAUUGAGAAACUUGGACAUGGAGAGAGACACACACACAGACAGAAUGCCAUGUCAAGAUGAGAGCAGAGAUCAGGAAGAUACUUUUUCAAGCCAAGGAAUGCCAAGACUGCCAGCAAGUAGCCAGAGGCUAGGAGAGAGGCACGGAACAAAUUCUCCCUCACAGCCUCACAAGGAACACUCUGAUCUCAGACUUGCACCCUUCCGAGCCACGAGGAAACAAGCUUUUGUCGUGUGAGCCUCCCAGUUUAUGAUACCUUGUUACAACAACCCGAGCAAACGAAGACACUCUUCUUCCCCAGCAGCCAGUAUGCAGGAGACCCAGCACCGGAAGGAUCCCGAGCGAAAAGUCAGGAAAAUGUUAGAACUACCUGAGAGGCUCAGACACCAUCUUUGAUCGUUUUAUUCCAAAUAAACACAGCACCAGGAGAGAGGGUCUGCAUGUCCAACUUCUCAGGGACAAACUUUUUGCCACUGUAGAGAAAGUUAACUGCUAAAACUACAUAAAAUCGAUUGUCCAUGUGGUAAUGCAUAGGUCAUGCUCCAGUUUGUUCUAUGAUGGAGUAAAGAAAAUAUGUGUCCUUCCAGGCAAAAUAUAAAAGUAAAGACAAUCUAUGGCAAAAAAAAUAAUGCUAUAGAUUCACAAGGGUACCUUCGCUGAUGUCUUCCUAGGGACAAAGGCAGACACUCCGUUUUGCAGCCAAAAAGGGCCGGGUGAGUAUGUAACUCUGACCCAUGAACAGCAAAUGAAAGUGGCAAAAGCAGAAGGAUAGAGGAGUUUAUGUGAGUCUCCCAUGCCUUCCUCCUCCACUGCCACAGAGGCCCCGGACGUCACUUACAGAAGGAAGGGAGGCACAAAAUUAAAGUAGACCGGAUCCUUAAGCCUCUGAUUGGAAGGGAGCCGCCUCGGAAAACCAUCCGGCCCUCAGUGAAGCUUCUGCAAGAAAUAGUUGCCUAUGAGAUUUGGUGGGGAUAAUCGAACCUGGCACUAUGGCCUGACUCAGACGAUGAUGAUGGCCUUCACCUUGGCAACCUGUAUUGGACCUGUGUACUAUUCAAAAACAAAAUAAAUAAUAAGCGAGUGGAGAAAUAUUCA
Long non-coding RNA from Lynx canadensis (Canada lynx), 1321 nucleotides. RefSeq lists it as uncharacterized. The record is from RefSeq and is a predicted model, not a curated record. Lineage: Eukaryota; Metazoa; Chordata; Mammalia; Carnivora; Felidae. The transcript is spliced from 3 exons.